AAUUAACGCUGGCAGAGUGCAUAACACAUGCAAGUCGAGCGAGGUGGCGGCGUAUCGCGCCUAGCGGCAGACGAGUGAGUAACACGUAAACAAUCUACCCUUGAAUGGCGAACAACCAAUCGAAAGGCUGGCUAAUACGCCGUACUCUCCCUUGAAGGCAUCUUUAGGGGAGGAUAGAUCCGCAAGGAUCGUUCUUGGAGGAGUUUGCGGCCCACCAGCUAGUGGCGGUGUAAUAGACCACCAAGGCUACGACGGGUACCCGGCCUGAAAGGGCGGACGGGCACGAUGGCACUGAGACACGGGCCAUACUCCUACGGGAGGCAGCAGUGGGGAAUCUUGCGCAAUGGGCGAAAGCCUGACGCAGCGACGCCGCGUGAGGGAUGACGGCCU
RNAcentral lists this ribosomal RNA (390 nucleotides) under uncultured bacterium. RNAcentral describes it as "bacterial SSU rRNA". It matches the Rfam family "Bacterial small subunit ribosomal RNA", at positions 29 to 417 of the family's 1533-position model. The record is from RNAcentral.